ACGCAGUAGUUUACUUUUAGGUGAUCUCUUAACAACGUGGCCAGACACAAUCAGUAAAGUCAUGUUGGCUCUUCUCAUUAUCUCUCUUGUAAUUGUUGGACACCUGUCUGCCCCUGUGCUGAGGAGCAGAGCUGAUGAAAGCACAGCGGAGCUGGAGCUGCUCUUUGACCCCGGCCUCCUCAAACAGCAUGUCAGCCUGACUGGUGAUUAUGGUGAGAGGCCCCUCUUCCCCCCUCUGCCAGCUGAUACUGAAGAUCCUUACCAGCCGAAUCUGGAGGAUGAAUACUACUAACAGAAACAGAUCCUGAUGGAAGGAAAUCAAGCUGAUCUUCCCUGCAUAGACGACCUAUAAAAAAAAAUUUAAAAACUGAAAAGAAAUUAUCUUUACUUUGUUUGUUUCCUUUUGCCCACAUUUUUGCAGAUUUCUCAGUAUUUUAUUUAGUGCAUGUUCAAUUAACUUCCUUCUCAAACUUCAGAGAGGGUGGGGCUUUGCUGUGUCUUGUUGUUAUCAGGUAGCAUUUUCCCUGUCAUAUCUGUUUCAUAAAUUGUAGGCAAAACAUAACGGCUGAAGUUGCGGGACAGUAAGUUAAAGCUGCAGCAGCUUGGGAAUGACAUGUUGAGUCUAGUUCUUCCUUGUUCAGUAGUCUGAUAAUGGAAACGGAUAUGUAUGUUCGACUGUUAAAACACAGUAAAUUAAAAUGUAGACUGUCACAUAAGCUAAUAAUAUUUAAGUUGAUUUAAUUAUAUUGUCAUCAAUUAUGCUGUGUUUGAUUUGAACCAGCAUUAGAAUUACAGAGGAAACAGGGGGGCUUAACUCCCCCCCAAAACAGACCUGAGCUCCCCUGAAAAAACUGAUAAACAACCAUUAGUUUUAAUUCCCUGUCCUGUCACCAGUAAUUAUAAAUGUGUGUGAGCAGCUCUGACUAUCUGCUAUCAAUAAUGUGUACGACUAAUGUGGACUUGUGCAGGGUGUUUUCAUACACCACGGAUCAUGAGCUGCUUUCAUGUGUGGUUCUGUUUGUGGAUUCUGCAGCUUCUCUAGAAUCACUGAUUCUUGUCAGAGCUCUCAGUCCAGCAGCCUCUCUCGUUAUUUCUGUCGUGCAUCGAAGAGAAGUAUCUGAAAAUCUGUUAUCAAACAAGAAACAGGCCUAACUUUCUCCAUUUUUCAUUGUAAUAUUUGGUUUGUCUCCUGAAGCUGUCCAGGUUGCUGUUUGUUCUGAUCCUCCUCCUUUUAAUGUUUGAAAAACCUUUUCCAAUUAAAGAGUCCAGACAUCUCCUGCAGCAGUUGUCUCUAAGAUAUCUGUGAUAUGAGCUCAAUCCUUCAAAAUGCUGAUAUAUCCAAUCACACAACUGUUAUAAUCAACCUUUUUAUACCGAUUUUGUUUGCCGUUGUCGUGAUUAUAAAAUAAUGAUUUGCAGCAGCACACGGUCAGAGUUUAACUUACUACUGUCGAGGUGAGAAUUAGUGAAGUAAACCAGUUAACCUAAAACUGCAACUCUCUGGAUUGUGGGAGGAAGCUGGAGUUCCCAGAGGAAACCCACAUCAAUCUCCACACAGACAGGCCCCGGCCGGUCGGCAAGUUUUUAACCCAGAACCUUCACCCUGCUGUGAAGCGACUUUAACUUCACACACCUGCUCGCUCGCCCGCUCAUACUUUUAUACCGACAAAAUAAUGACAGGACACUCUGACAUCUGCAUUAAAAUUUUUAAAUAAAGAAUAAUUCACACCUAAAAAAAUUCCAAAAUAAAGAGAAAUUUCACAUACUACAUGUUGAAUCAAUACAAUGUCAUAUUUAUAAUUACAGAUAUUAAAUUAUUUAUUUAUAUAUGGCAUGUCUGUACACCCUUUGUUUAGCCCCCAUACAUUUUCUCUCGUCCACCUGAUUGGCUCUCGAGAAAGGAAACUCAUAUAAAAGUCAGUGUUGAUAUCUUGAUGCGAUGGCUUCGAUUAGCAACAGCAGACAACUCUUUUGUUUUGUUUCAAGAUUGGAUUUUUUUUUUUGUUGUUUUUUUGUUUUUGUUUUUGAAAGGGACAAACAGUGGGGACUGGCGAGAUGACUGGAACUGACAAUUUCCACAUCCUCCAUUAAUUAAUCUUUCUUAUACAGACAUUUUAUCUUUUGUUAAUAUGGAUCACAUAAAAUAAUCUGUUACAAAUCAGUGUUAGUGAUAAAUGAUGUAGGAAGCACACUUUGUUUUUCACUGCAGAACAUCUGUGCUGUACCCGCGCUGGACCCGGGAUGAUUCAAAAUCAUACGGAAAUCCUUUGUUUUUCUGCUACGAUCACGUGGGGCCUCGUUCAGAACAUGUCUCCAUGACUUAAUGAACCACAGAGCGAUGAAUUGGAUGAAUUUGAUGCAACAUCUGUGAUGACUGGUCACAUCAAGGUCAUUAUAUUAUAUCACAAUUCAUCACAAGAGGUAAAACUGUUCACUCCUGAUGAAGUCAAUGCUUCAUCUGAAUGAUGCCUGGGCUGAAUAAAUAUUCAUGUGUGUGACUGUGCACAGCUUGUUUGCCUCUGUCUUUUUUUUAAUCCUUCCCGAAUUUCAGUAGGUCAGAAAUUGGGACUUGAAAGCUUCUGGUUUCAAGAGAGAGACUUGACUCCCAAGCUUCAUGCCUACAGCUCUACUGUCUAAAUAGCGAAGCUGGUUUGGUAACUGUUAGCUGGCAGCUAAGAUAGCGAGCUUAUUAAACAUGCCUAAUUUUCUAAAUGUAUUGUCCACAUUCCUGAAUAUGAAUAUCGUGGACUUUUUAAGAGAACUAGAUGCGUAUUAACGGAAUGGAAUUGGAUAUAUAUAUAUAUAUAUAUAUAUAUAUAUAUAAAAAUAUAUAUAUAAUAUGUGAAUUUUUACCUCCUACAUACUUGUAUCCCGUUGAUUAGAGAGUGUUCUUGGACUGAAUCUUUUUAACUUCUUACUCUUGGGACAGGGAAGAAGUUUCACUGUGCUCUGCAUGUUCUGAAACAAACAUGGCAGGAAAGAACAGGCCUUAAACAGCACAGGUACAACACACCACACGUACUGCAAUGGAAAAAAAAAAGAAAGCUCAACUUACAUCAAA
Long non-coding RNA from Seriola aureovittata, 3061 nucleotides. RefSeq lists it as uncharacterized. The record is from RefSeq and is a predicted model, not a curated record. Lineage: Eukaryota; Metazoa; Chordata; Actinopteri; Carangiformes; Carangidae. The transcript is spliced from 3 exons.